Long non-coding RNA from Lampris incognitus (smalleye Pacific opah), 350 nucleotides. RefSeq lists it as uncharacterized. NCBI's taxonomy places the organism in Eukaryota, Metazoa, Chordata, Actinopteri, Lampriformes, Lampridae. The record is from RefSeq and is a predicted model, not a curated record. The transcript has 3 exons.
UGAACGCCUGGAGGCAGAAACACGCGCAUCAGCACUUCCUCAUCCAUCACCACUCGUUCCUUGGGAGUCCAUCUCCUGAGCCUGUCUAAUAGAGCCCGGUGAGAUGACCAAUCUGAUAAAUCCAACAGACGACAGCCCAGCAAGAGUAAACAACACCCAGUCACAUCGCUGCACCGUGAAGGUCUGCACCGGUCGGGACUCGGUGCUGCUGCUCUUUGUGGUGUGUCAUGGCCAAGACAGGCAAAAACGCUGCACACCAGGCUGCUGCCGCCGCUGCUGCUGCUGCUGCUGCUGCUGCAAUCUGCAUAGAGAGACAUUUGUCAUCAUUAGCCUGCUCUGACAGUUGGCAC